AUUGAACGCUGGCGGCAUGCCUUACACAUGCAAGUCGAACGGCAGCACGGGAGCAAUCCUGGUGGCGAGUGGCGAACGGGUGAGUAAUAUAUCGGAACGUGCCCAGUCGUGGGGAUAACGUAGCGAAAGCUACGCUAAUACCGCAUACGAUCUAUGGAUGAAAGCGGGGGAUCGCAAGACCUCGCGCGAUUGGAGCGGCCGAUAUCAGAUUAGGUAGUUGGUGAGGUAAAGGCUCACCAAGCCGACGAUCUGUAGCUGGUCUGAGAGGACGACCAGCCACACUGGGACUGAGACACGGCCCAGACUCCUACGGGAGGCAGCAGUGGGGAAUUUUUGGACAAUGGGCGCAAGCCUGAUCCAGCAAUGCCGCGUGCAGGAUGAAGCCU
RNAcentral lists this ribosomal RNA (386 nucleotides) under uncultured bacterium. RNAcentral's name for it is "bacterial SSU rRNA". It matches the Rfam family "Bacterial small subunit ribosomal RNA", at positions 30 to 416 of the family's 1533-position model. The record is from RNAcentral.